This 50-nucleotide small RNA is filed under the name Sinorhizobium meliloti 2011. Its description in RNAcentral is "putative ncRNA". Lineage: Bacteria; Pseudomonadati; Pseudomonadota; Alphaproteobacteria; Hyphomicrobiales; Rhizobiaceae. The record is from RNAcentral.
AAGCGCCAAGCUCAUCAGCAAAACUGCAGAUAUCUUGGCACGACGUGAUA